GAUGAACGCUAGCGGCAGGCUUAAUACAUGCAAGUCGAGGGGCAGCGCGGGUAGCAAUACCUGGCGGCGACCGGCAAACGGGUGCGGAACACGUACAGAACCUUCCUUUAAGCGGGGGAUAGCCCAGAGAAAUUUGGAUUAAUACCCCAUAGUAUUGUUGGUUGGCAUCAAUUGACAAUUAAAGAUUUAUCACUUAAAGAUGGCUGUGCGGCUGAUUAGGUAGUUGGUGUGGGAACGGCCUACCAAGCCUUCGAUCAGUAACUGGUGUGAGAGCACGACCAGGUCACACGGGCACUGAGACACGGGCCCGACUCCUACGGGAGGCAGCAGUAAGGAAUAUUGGUCAAU
RNAcentral lists this ribosomal RNA (348 nucleotides) under uncultured bacterium. RNAcentral's name for it is "bacterial SSU rRNA". It matches the Rfam family "Bacterial small subunit ribosomal RNA", at positions 28 to 372 of the family's 1533-position model. The record is from RNAcentral.